AAGACUGAGCUUUCCGGCGAGCUUUUUGAGACCUCCCCCGGCUGAAUCGGCUAUUCUCGUCUACUUUCGAGGCGAGCUGUAGCUCGUCUCAAACAAGUUAAAUACUGUUGGAAGCUCAGGUUCAGUUCAACUGUAUCCAGUCAUGCCAACGAGGGUCUGUUUCCUGUCUUGUGAGGGGAAAUCUUCAAUGUAUGCCUUACCGAGGGCAGAACCACGCCGAAGUCAGUGGUUGACAUUUCUUGUUAACACUGUUCCUUCAGAUGUUCGAGGUAUUGUACUGUGUGCGCGGCAUUUCACGAACCAAAGCUUCGCAAACAUUGCAGCGUUUCAUGCCGGAUAUGCACAGCGUAGGACACUGAAGGACGAUGCUGUUCCUACUUUGUUUGGACCAGGAGAUUCGGGUACACAACCUAGUACAUCACAGCAGGACCCCGGUACCCCCCACCGCUCCAGUACAGUCGGAUGCCAAACAGACCGUACACAGACUGUUUCUGUGGGAACUCGGAGGGUUGAGACACCGUCCGUGGGGACACAGACAGUGAAAUGUAAAGUGUCCGCCGUUUCAGUUGCUACACAGUUGUCCUGGGGAACACUGAAGUCGGCACACGUGAGAAGCAAAGGCAUCCAGGCCACGGUGUCUUUACAAAAUGUUGGCACUAAAACUUCCACCUACCCAGAAUUCCCCUUAGCCUCUUCUACACCAAUAAAGGGCCCAGGAUUGGGACCUAGCAAGAGACCUCGACUGGAGUUGGAGGAGGAACAAGGAGAGACUUCGACUGAACUUGAAGAGGCUCUGGAUUCGAGUUACCACCCUGAUGAUACUGUAGAAGAAUCUGACGUAUCACUUCAGACACGAUCCACGCACAGUGACGCAAAGUACAUUGUUUUUGAAAGCUGCCUCGGACAGCUGUUUGAAAAAUGUCCGGUGUGUAAGACAGACUGUGAUGUCCAAAGACGAAAAAUGGGGACUUUUGUGGCGUUCAUACAGCGUUGUCCAAACUGCACUUACUUCAGACAAUGGGAGAGCCAGCCCAUCAUCUGAAGUACCCCGGUUGGCAACUUACAAUUAUCCGCUGCUACAUACUUCACUGGUGCUUCCUUCUUCCAACUACAAAAGAUAUGCAGAGCCAUGCAACUGGAGAUCUUCCAGUAUGAGACCUUCAGGAGGCAUGCUAGGAAUGACCUGGAGCCUGCUAUUAUCCACAAGUGGAAGACUGAUCAGCUGCAUUUUUUUCCAGCAACUACAACACCAGGGGGGAAAGGUCACAGUUGGAGGAGAUAUGAGAGCAGACUCUCCAGGGCACUCAGCCAAGUUCGGGAGCUACACACUCAUGCAACUGGGAAGCAACACCAUUGUGGACUUCCAGCUUGUUCAGAGCAAUGAAGUAGGUGGUAGUUAACACAUGGAAAAGGAGGGACUCAAAAUAUGCCUAGAUCAUCUGGAGUCAAACGAUUUGGCGGUUGAGUACAUUGUGACUGACCGUCAUCCACAGAUCCAGAAGUUUCUGAGGGAACGCAACAUAGAACAAUCCUAUGAUGUGUGGCACUUUGAAAAAGGUUUGUCCAAGAAACAUUUACAGAACAAGGACUGCAAGGUGUUGAAGAGGUGGCUGCACAGCAUAAACAAACCAUGUAUACUAGAGUGCGACGGGCACAACCUCGGGGCCAGAGAAGGUGGCAAGGUGGACGUCAGUGGUCAACCACCUACAAAACAUUCACGUGCAUGACGUCCCCCUAUUCCCCAAGUGUUCACAUCCUGAAAGAGCCUCAAGCGAUGCAAAUAAAUGGCUACAACCUGGUAAGUUCAAUAUUUAUGAAACAAUUGGAAAUAACAAGUGAAACAUUUAAAAACACUUCACUUCCUUCAUAAGAUCAACAAUAUUGAAUGUAAAUAUAACAUUGUUGUUAUGGCAAAUUAUUGGUGUAAUGUUCUAAUUCUAAUGUUUGAGGAAGUCUUUGAGGACCCAACACCCUUUGUGGAUGAGAUGAAUACAAUCCCCAUCCCAAAGGACCUGUCCACUCAAUUUGAAAUUUGACAAGCCCUCGAUCAGGAAACUCCUGGCGUAUCCGGCGGACAACACAUGACGGGAUGACCACUCUGAUGCCUCGUCCUAAAAAGCCCCAGCACCAGCUUACAAAGCUGCGAUGCCUAAAAGGGGAGGAAUGGAUCAUAUACAGUGUAUAUGUAUAUUUACACAUGUUCAUUUCUAAAAAUAAAGUUUGAUGGAAAUACUUA
Long non-coding RNA from Gymnodraco acuticeps, 2236 nucleotides. RefSeq lists it as uncharacterized. Lineage: Eukaryota; Metazoa; Chordata; Actinopteri; Perciformes; Bathydraconidae. The transcript has 8 exons. The record is from RefSeq and is a predicted model, not a curated record.